RNAcentral lists this ribosomal RNA (504 nucleotides) under uncultured bacterium. RNAcentral describes it as "partial 16S ribosomal RNA". It matches the Rfam family "Bacterial small subunit ribosomal RNA", at positions 28 to 506 of the family's 1533-position model. The record is from RNAcentral.
GACGAACGCUGGCGGCGUGCCUAAUACAUGCAAGUAGAACGCACAGUUUAUACCGUAGCUUGCUACACCAUAGACUGUGAGUUGCGAACGGGUGAGUAACGCGUAGGUAACCUGCCUGGUAGCGGGGGAUAACUAUUGGAAACGAUAGCUAAUACCGCAUAAUAUUGAUUAUUGCAUGAUAAUUGAUUGAAAGAUGCUAUUGCAUCACUACCAGAUGGACCUGCGUUGUAUUAGCUAGUAGGUGAGGUAACGGCUCACCUAGGCGACGAUACAUAGCCGACCUGAGAGGGUGAUCGGCCACACUGGGACUGAGACACGGCCCAGACUCCUACGGGAGGCAGCAGUAGGGAAUCUUCGGCAAAGGACGAAAGUCUGACCGAGCAACGCCGCGUGAGUGAAGAAGGUUUUCGGAUCGUAAAGCUCUGUUGUAAGAGAAGAACGGGUGUGAGAGUGGAAAGUUCACACUGUGACGGUAUCUUACCAGAAAGGGACGGCUAACUACGU